UUUCUCCCCAUUCAGUUUUUUUCUGAAAUGAGAGCUUGAAGGAUCUUGGUCCACCAACGCUCUUAGAAACCUUCACUAAUCCUUGAAAUUAUAAUACAGUUGCUAAUGGCUGUGACAAAAUUGGCCUUUGGAAACGCUCUCCAUGCUGAACGUUGUGGAUAUACAUCUCAUAGGGAGAUAAGGUGAGAUACCAGUCUUCAAAAAACUGCCAAUGGGGUCAGAAUGGAGGAGCCUACAUGACCUGUGGAAGGUGAGAAACAGUUGCUGGCAUGAAAGAGGCAAGCUUAUCUUCAGUGGAAAUAUUUAGUCCUCAACAAGAUAAGGAUGUUCAGCAACAUGUCCUGGACAUCCACGUCAGGAAUUCCUACAACUCCAACCAAUUGCUGAAGGAUUUAGAAGGUAUAGGAAGAAAGGGGAUGCUUCUCUUUUAUCUAAGCUUUUACUUCAAUUGUAACAUACAUAGAGAAGAAGAUACCCAUUUUCAGUUUAUAGCUCAAUGAAUGAGCUAUACGUUACACGUUACACACACAUGUAACCAGCAUCCUGGCCAAGAUAUAGAACAUCCACAGCAACUCAAAAGCUCUCCUUUCUAUACCUCCUCCUAACCACUGUUCCCUUCCUCUUCCUCAUUUCUAAUACUAAAUAUUAGUUUGGCCUGGUUUUGAAUUUUAUAGACCUUUAGAUUCAAGAGGCUCUGAAUCAGACUCCUUUUACAAAGAAUUUUGCCCUACAGUGGAUAGCUUGUUGGUUUUCUGAGAUGAGGAAAGAAAGAAACUCUGCUUUUUCACUGCCAAGUAAUCUUAUGCCUGAAGGGCUGUUCAUUCUUAGCACUAACUUGUCAGAUACAUGCCCAGAGACUUAGUACCAUUAAGCAAAUAGCACUUAUAAAUUAAAACUCGCUUUUAAUUAAUGAGAGUCAGACUAUAAUUUAUGAACAAUUAUUUACCCAAUAAAAUUAAUUAUAGCCCUGCAUAUGUGACCGAAGCUGUAACACUAAUCAAAUCCAUUUUGACAUCUUUCUGUAUAACCUGUGGUAAGAAUGUAAAUUGGUUUGAAAUGAUUGCAUUUGAGAAGCAGCAUAGCACAGAGAUUAAAAGUGACAAUGCUGGAGCUAGAUAUGGGGCUGAAUCCUGGCUAUGGCACUUAGUAGCUGUGUAUUCUUAGUCUAAUUACUUAAUUUCCCUAGGUUUCACUUUUCUUAUCUGUAAA
This is a long non-coding RNA of Canis lupus familiaris (dog), 1209 nucleotides long. RefSeq lists it as uncharacterized. The record is from RefSeq and is a predicted model, not a curated record. The transcript is spliced from 4 exons. Lineage: Eukaryota; Metazoa; Chordata; Mammalia; Carnivora; Canidae.